AUGUAGCCGACGAGUCCUGAAUAGGGCGAAACGUGCGUCCUGGAU
This 45-nucleotide non-coding RNA is filed under the name Schistosoma curassoni. The record is from RNAcentral. Lineage: Eukaryota; Metazoa; Platyhelminthes; Trematoda; Strigeidida; Schistosomatidae.